UCAAGCGCGAGAAGGGCGUUUGGUGGAUGCCUUGGCGGUAAGAGGCGAUGAAGGACGUGGCACUCUGCGAUAAGCUCGGGGGAGGCGAGAGCACCCUUUGAUCCCGAGAUGUCCGAAUGGGGAAACCCACCUGACAUUGGCCGGUUGAUCGGCGCGGCGACGCGGCGGUCAUCCGACCGAUGAAGCAGGUACUCAUUGGCUGAAUACAUAGGCCUUUGAGAGCGAACCCGGGGAACUGAAACAUCUAAGUACCCGGAGGAAAGGAAAUCAACCGAGACUCCGUUAGUAGUGGCGAGCGAACGCGGAUCAGGCCGUGCGGACUAUAAAGGCGAACCAGUUGGAAAGCUGGGCGAUAUGGGUGACAGCCCCGUAGCCGUAGAAGAGUCCGCCGUUAGAGUAGGGCGGGGCACGUGAAACCCUGUCUGAACAUGGGGGGACCACCCUCCAAGCCUAAGUACUCCUUACCGACCGAUAGCGAACCAGUACCGUGAGGGAAAGGUGAAAAGCACCCCUACAAGGGGAGUGAAACAGUUCCUGAAACCGGACGCCUACAAACAGUGGGAGCCUUCGGGUGACCACGUACCUUUUGUAUAAUGGGUCAGCGACUUGGUCUCACGAGCAAGCUUAAGCCGAUAGGCGUAGGCGCAGCGAAAGCGAGUCUGAAUAGGGCGCUUAGUUCGUGGGAUCAGACCCGAAACCGAGUGAUCUAGCCAUGAGCAGGCUGAAGGUGCGGUAACACGCACUGAAGGGCCGAACCCACACCUGUUGAAAAAGGUCGGGAUGACUUGUGGCUAGGGGUGAAAGGCCAAUCAAACUCGGAGAUAGCUGGUUCUCCGCGAAAUCUAUUUAGGUAGAGCGUCGGAUGAAUACCCUCGGGGGUAGAGCACUGGAUGGGUGAUGGGGGCCCACAGCCUUACUGAGCCUAACCAAACUCCGAAUACCGAGGAGUACUAUCCGGCAGACACACGGCGGGUGCUAACGUCCGUCGUGGAGAGGGAAACAACCCUGAUCGACAGCUAAGGUCCCGAAGUCAUGGCUAAGUGGGAAAGCAUGUGAGACGGCCAAAACAACCAGGAGGUUGGCUUAGAAGCAGCCAUCCUUUAAAGAUAGCGUAACAGCUCACUGGUCUAAUUAAGCUGUCUUGCGGCGAAGAUGUAACGGGGCUCAAGCCAUGCACCGAAGCUUCGAACUCGCAAGAGUGGUAGCGGAGCGUACCCUGACAUGAUCCUUCCGACUUGCGCGCCGGUUCGCCGGCGUGACGGUCGGAGCGGGUCUUCUGUGAAGCCGGGCCGUGAGGCAUCCGGUGGAGAGACGGGUAGUGAGAAUGCUGACAUGAGUAGCGAUAAAGCGGGUGAGAGACCCGCUCGCCGAAAGUCCAAGGGUUCCUGCUUAAAGCUAAUCUGAGCAGGGUGAGCCGGCCCCUAAGGCGAGGCCGAAAGGCGUAGCUGAUGGGAACCAGGUUAAUAUUCCUGGGCCAGGAGGAUGUGACGGUUUCCGGAAGUCGUCCGACCUUAUCGGAUUGGUCGGGCGUCCAAGGGAAUCCUGGAAAUAGCCCUCCAUGAGACCGUACCCUAAACCGACACAGGUGGACUGGUAGAGCAUACCAAGGCGCUUGAGAGAACUACGUUGAAGGAACUCGGCAAAAUGCCUCCGUAAGUUCGCGAGAAGGAGGCCUCCUUUCAGGGCAACCUGGGGGGAGGGGCACAGACCAGGGGGUGGCGACUGUUUACUAAAAACACAGGGCUCUGCGAAGCCGUAAGGCGACGUAUAGGGUCUGACGCCUGCCCGGUGCCGGAAGGUUAAAUGGAGGUGUGCAAGCACCGAAAUGAAGCCCCGGUAAACGGCGGCCGUAACUAUAACGGUCCUAAGGUAGCGAAAUUCCUUGUCGGGUAAGUUCCGACCUGCACGAAUGGCGUAACGACUUCCCCGCUGUCUCCAACGUAGACUCAGCGAAAUUGAAUUCCCCGUGAAGAUGCGGGGUUCCCGCGGUCAGACGGAAAGACCCCGUGCACCUUUACUACAGCUUCACACUGGCGUUAGGCAGUGCAUGUGCAGGAUAGGUGGUAGGCUAUGAAACCCGGGCGCCAGCUCGGCGGAGCCGCCCUUGAGAUACCACCCUUGCGCUGCUUGACGUCUAACCGCGAGCCGUCAUCCGGUUCCGGGACACUGUGUGGCGGGUAGUUUGACUG
This 2189-nucleotide ribosomal RNA is filed under the name marine metagenome. Its description in RNAcentral is "bacterial LSU rRNA". It matches the Rfam family "Bacterial large subunit ribosomal RNA", at positions 1 to 2276 of the family's 2925-position model. The record is from RNAcentral.